This 4140-nucleotide unclassified non-coding RNA is filed under the name Hevea brasiliensis (rubber tree). Lineage: Eukaryota; Viridiplantae; Streptophyta; Magnoliopsida; Malpighiales; Euphorbiaceae. The record is from RNAcentral.
UGGUUGUGGUAAAGCAAAGAAGAAUAGAAAUGAAAAUGAAACGCUCUCCCUACUGCUUCUGCUGCAGUUUUGCCCUUUUGCUUCUUGUGAGCUUCUUGAAGGACAGACAUUUUUGCUCUGCUGAUCCAACUGAUGGGUUCACUGAGGUGCCAUUAACAGAGGACAACUUUGUCAUACAGAAACCUUAUGACAAACCCUUGAACGAUCGUUACUCUUACAAAAAUGGAAUUCGACGUUUAUGGGUUUAUGAAAAUGAUAAGCCCUUCAAAGUUGGCAGCCCCACCAGGCCCCGAACCGAAAUUCGCAUCAAGGGACAUGACUACUCAUCUGGAGUUUGGCAAUUCGAAGGCCAAGUGCAUGUUCCAGAAGGGACUUCUGGCGUUACAGUAAUGCAGGUAUUUGGCGCAGUUAACAAAGCCACGGCUCUGCAACUUAGGGUUUACAAUGGGGACUUGAAGUCCUACAAGUCCAACUCUGUUGCCACAGACAUCUACAAUAAGUGGUUAAGGGUUAAUGUGAUCCAUAAAGUAGGAAAAGGAGAAAUAACAGUUUUCAUCAACGGUCAACAGAAACUGGUGGUCAAUGAUGACGGACCGGCGGAGCAUUAUUUCAAGUGCGGGGUGUAUGCAGCGCCUGAUGGUUCAAGCAACUACAUGGAAUCAAGGUGGAAAAACAUCAAGCUUUACAAAAGUGACAAUAAACUUGAAGGCUGUAAUAAUAAUCAUGGAACUUGGCUAGUUCAAUAAUUGACAUGUUUCAACAUAUCAUCUCACUAGCUUUGUUUUCUUUCUAUCAUGUGAUAUUUAGCAGUUUAUGAUGCUGCCUGAUAAAAGAAAAAGCUGCCUUGUGGGUUAUGCAACUGUUAUCCUUCCAAUAAAAACAAUCUUUGCCUAAUACCAGAGAGUGCAAGAAACAGGGACCUUUAACUGGAAGUCAUAAAGAGCGAAUGGCUAGAUAUAGGAAUAGGAUAACCCAUUAACUGAUUUUUUUUAAAAAUAGUAUUGAAGAUGUAACUAGAAGCCUAAUAUAGUGAAACAAACAGCAAGAAAAUCUAACGCUCAUGUGACUUCAAACUAUAAUUCAACACCACACAAUAGUGUAUAGACCCAUCAAUGGAAUGAAUGAAUUGAUAGAAAAAAAAAUGUCAAAUCUAACCUGUGAUAUAAAAAUGAAAGAGAGUGAAUCAUAUCUAUACAACAGUAAAAGAAACAGCGAAGAAGCCUACACGCCACAAGGAAGGCAGCACCACUUUUGGAGUUGAAUAAAGAACCAUUGUAGAGGGUCAGGAUGUUCGUCUUCAUCUAAAUAAACAGUAGGCAGAGGAAGUUCAGGAGGUAAAUGCCGGUGAAAUGCGUCAACUGCAGCUGCUACACCAUCUUCGUUCUCUAUCAACUUUGCUAAUUCUAUUGCUCGAGAUUUCACCUCUGGCUGGAGCAUGAACCUUAUUGCAUUUGAAAGGUUCUCAACACUGAGCUGAGCUAUUGGUAUUGGUGAGGGUCCCAGCCCUUGUUUAUGUACUUUAUCACCCCAGAAAAACUGAUCUCCACAGGAUGGCACUAUGGUUGUUGGGCACUGCAAUUGACAAGUUUCACAAUAGACAAGCAACAACUAAAAACAAUUUAUUACGGUAAAAAUUAAAUUACAUAUUUUAAAAUAGGUUACCAAUCAUAUCUCUUAAUGCCAUUUCAUAUUAAAUAAUGUCUAACAUAUAAAUUUCUUCAGAAUCCCAAGUACAAUUUUUUUUUUCUUUUUUCGCUCUUUUUUUUUUGUUUGGAAAAGCCAAGAGAAAAGAAAAUAUUUUACUAAGGAACACCAGGGGGGCGUCAAUCCAAACACAGAAGGGGAAUGAUUGACAAGAAAGGGAAAAAAAAUUUUAAGCAGACAAUUACAGCUCGUAUAUCCUCAAAUUACCACCCUAAUGUAACAAAAUUGCAUUAAUCAUAUUGAUAUGGUGAAAUCAUUUGAUCAAUUAUGCAGUCAAAAACAUUAUAGUGAAAUAAUUAGAAAGAGAAUUACCCCCAGUUUUAGUCCUGCAGCUGUGGUUCCAGCACCACCAUGAUGAACCAAAGCAGCACAUUGAGGAAACAACCAAUCAUGGGGGCAAUCCUCCAAAAGGAAGACAGUAUCAGGAACUUCGGUAAGAUUCCCUAGAUCUCCCCAACCACGGUAAAUUAUUCCUCUUUGCCCAGUAUCCUUCAAUGCUUCCAUUAUUAUGUCUGUAGUUUUCUUGGGAUCUUCAAGAGGCGUGCUUCCAAACCCAAUAUAUAUGGGUUUUGUUCCUUUCUGAAUCCAUUCUUUGAAUUCUUCUUUAGGCUCAUAUUUUGACCCAAGGUUUAAGAAACAAUAACCGACAACAUCAACUAAAGGACCCCAAUCUCUUGGCUUUGACACAAGAUGAGGACUCCACAAAUAACCUGUUGGUAAAUCAGAUAAUGAUCCAUGGUACAUAUUGAAGUAUGCAAUUGGGGGAAGCUUCAACUUUCCUUUCCUAAAGUCAUUUAUAUAUCCUCUUAUUCCCCACCAUAUGAGUAAAUCCACAACUAUGUAUGAAAGCCAAUAACCAGCACUUUGAGGAAUACGUGCUAAAGGGUGAGGAAAUUCAUAUGUUGGCGUCCAAGGCAUUGUGAAGAAAAUGUGAAUCGGUACACCAAGAGCUUCAGCAACAUGUACGUGUCCAUAAGCAGGUGGGUUUGCAAUAAUUGCUUGGGCUCUAAAAGGUGCACCAGUUUCAAUAUCUGGCUCUGUGCAUGCGGGAAGAAGUGACUCAAUAAUGGCUUUCAGCUCCUUCCUUUGUAAGAUUAUUUCUCCUGGAGCAGAUGGGAUGAGACCUUUAUUUCUGGCCAUAUCUCUUACAUCCUGCCAAAACCCGAGGAUCACCGCCUAAGGGAUAAAAUUCUACACCAGCUGACCUUACAAAACUUCUGAAGUUAGCAUGAGUUGCCAGCCUAACAUGAUGACCAAAUUCCUGAAGUCUCUUAGCCAUAGCUAGAAAUGGCUGCACAUCUCCUCUUGUUCCGACCACAAGAAUUGCAAUUUUCAACCUUGGAAUUAAUUUAUUGGAAGAUUCACGAGUGCUAUCAUCAACAUAGAAAGAUGCCCCCCCUUCAACUGAGUGAAGCUCUAACAGUUCAGAAGCAACAGGAGCAGUUUUGGCUAGAUCAACUUCCACUGUUCCAUCAUUUUGGAUCUUUACCAAUUCAAUAAUAAGUUUUUUCUUUUCACGCUCAGAUAGUUUAUCUAAUUUUAGCUCAUGCCUCAUAGUCCUCUUCUCUGUCAUGGAUCUAUAGAAUUUAAUAUCAUCAUGGUCCUCAAUUAGCGGAUGUCUAUGAGUGCCAACAGGGGCAGUGAUGCAGUGAUCCAAGCCAUAUGUAAGAAUGGAGGGAAGCAAUUUUCUCCCCGAUCACCCUCCCAUUUCCACAUGAACAAUCCAGAAAAAGUCAUUAAAAAAAAGGGCACAAAUGAUACUUAAUUAAAUGUAUGGCUUCUGGCUGCUAAAAGAUUUUCCUUCCAUAAAUUAGACAUGAUAAACAAAUUUUAAAAAAUGGCAGUUAAUACAGAAAAUGAGCAAAAAAAAAAAAGAAAUAUAAUGUACCACAAUGGACUACUAUGAUUGAUUCGGGGGGUUUUAUAACGAAGUUGACAUAUAGCAAUAACCAUAAUAUUAGAUUACCACUACAAACACACAUGGAGAUCAGAUUCUCCAUGAAAGGAAAGAACAUAAAGAACACUUUAACUUCUGAGAAAUGAGAAAAAUAGAAAACAUGAGGGAUAUGCAAGAAAACUGCUUGCCUAUCUCAAGAUGUUCCUAAGAUGGAAUAUAAGCAUUGUAAGUUUAGCUCUCGUAAAUAAUGGAGGGGAGGUUCAAUUGGUUGGAUUUUUGGUGCCAAAAUACAACCACUUCAAGUAUUUAGAUUUUAUCAUCCAAAAGAAUGGAGUCAUAGAUGGGGAUGUAACUCAUAGGAUCAAAACAUGAUAGAUAAAAUGGAGGAGUGUAACAUGUGUGUUAUGCGGCCAUAAGAUUCCUCAUAAAGUGAAAGGUAAAUUCAAUAAAACUGUAGUCAAUCUAGCUAUGUGGGUAUCUAAGUACAAAAUACUCACAAGAUAAGUGUGACAAAUAUGUGGAUGUUAAGAUGGAUGUCU